RNAcentral lists this ribosomal RNA (1448 nucleotides) under metagenome. Its description in RNAcentral is "bacterial LSU rRNA". It matches the Rfam family "Bacterial large subunit ribosomal RNA", at positions 1499 to 2925 of the family's 2925-position model. The record is from RNAcentral.
UGGUUGUCCUGGGGAAAGGCGGUAGGCAUGAUUCUUAGGCAAAUCCGGGAAUCUUUAUGGCGAGCACCGAGACGAGUCCUAUGAGGACGAAGUGACUGACACCACGCUUCCAGGAAAAGCCACUAAGCUUCAGCUGUAGAAAAACCGUACCGUAAACCGACACUGGUAGGCAGGGUGAGAAUCCCAAGGCGCUUGAGAGAACUCGGGUGAAGGAACUAGGCAAAAUGGCACCGUAACUUCGGGAGAAGGUGCGCCCUUUGGUGUGGUCACGUGCGUGACUGAGCAUCGAAGGGUCGCAGUAACCUGGCCGCUGCGACUGUUUAUCAAAAACACAGCACUCUGCAAACACGAAAGUGGACGUAUAGGGUGUGACGCCUGCCCGGUGCUGGAAGGUUAAUUGAUGGGGUCAGCCGCAAGGCGAAGCUCUUGAUCGAAGCCCCAGUAAACGGCGGCCGUAACAAUAACGGUCCUAAGGUAGCGAAAUUCCUUGUCGGGUAAGUUCCGACCUGCACGAAUGGCGUAACGACAGCGGCGCUGUCUCCACCCGAGACUCAGUGAAAUUGAAAUCGCUGUGAAGAUGCAGCGUUCCCGCGGCAAGACGGAAAGACCCCGUGAACCUUUACUAUAGCUUUACAUUGAACGUUGAGUUCUUCUGUGUAGGAUAGGUGGGAGGCUAUGAAACCGAGACGCUAGUUUCGGUGGAGCCAUCCUUGAAAUACCACCCUGAAGUGCUUGACGUUCUAACCUAGGUCCGUAAUCCGGAUCGGGGACCAUGUAUGGUGGGUAGUUUGACUGGGGCGGUCUCCUCCCAAAGAGUAACGGAGGAGCACGAAGGUACGCUCAGCGCGGUCGGACAUCGCGCACUGUGUGCAAAGGCAUAAGCGUGCUUGACUGCGAGAUCGACGGAUCAAGCAGGUACGAAAGUAGGUCUUAGUGAUCCGGUGGUUCUGUAUGGAAGGGCCAUCGCUCAACGGAUAAAAGGUACUCCGGGGAUAACAGGCUGAUACCGCUCAAGAGUUCAUAUCGACGGCGGUGUUUGGCACCUCGAUGUCGGCUCAUCACAUCCUGGGGCUGUAGCCGGUCCCAAGGGUAUGGCUGUUCGCCAUUUAAAGUGGUACGCGAGCUGGGUUCAGAACGUCGUGAGACAGUUCGGUCCCUAUCUGUCGUGGGCGUUGGAGAUUUGAGGGGGGCUGCUCCUAGUACGAGAGGACCGGAGUGGACGUUCCGCUGGUGUUCGGGUUGUCAUGCCCAUGGCAUUGCCCGGUAGCUACGAACGGAAGUGAUAACCGCUGAAAGCAUCUAAGCGGGAAGCACGCCCCAAGAUGAGAUCUCCCGAGAGCUAGACUCUCCUUAAGGCACCAUCAAGACUAGGUGGUUGAUAGGCACGGUGUGGAAGUGCAGCAAUGCAUUGAGCUUACGUGUACUAAUGAGCCGUGAGGCUUGACCAA